GUCACUACCGAGUGCUGACAUACAGGGUUUCUGAAAUGAGAGUUCAAAUAUCAGCUGAAAGUCAAGAGUCCUCUCUCAGUGCAAAGCUGGUCCUGCUACUUGUAUUGCUAGCAAUUUUCUUCCCAGGUGGUGACAAUCAGGAAGGUAAGAAGAGCUCGGGCAGCUCAUAAACUGGUGCAGAGUUUCUGAUAGAAGGCAGGGUGCCUUGCCCAGGUGCACCUGGACUCUGAGGUCCUGCCCCCUCCUGACUCCAGCCCUGUUCCAUCUGCUGGAGAUGGGGCUGCAGCCUGAGGUCCGGGGAUCUCAGGUGUGUCAGGUAUUAUGCAUGUCAGUACGCAUGAUUUCUCUUUCCUUCCUGCCUCUCCCUUUCUCUUCACUCUCUUUCCUUCCUUCUUCACAGACUCCCAGGGGCCGACCACAUUCCACCUCAUCCAAAUCUCAUCCUUUGUCAACAGCACCUGGACACAGAACCACUGCUCAGGCUGGUUGGAUGAUGUGCAGGUUUUUGGCUGGGAUAGUGACACAGGCACUGCCAUCUUCCUAAAACCCUGGGCCAAGGGCAACUUCAGUGAUGAGGCCAUUCAGAUGGUGGAGGAGAUCUUCCGCAAUUACUUCUCUGUAUUCACCAGUGAAGUGCAGGAUCAUGUCAGUGAGUUCAAGUUGAAAUGUAAGUGCAGCCCUCAGACCUGAAAGGUCGCUAUUGACUUAUUAUCUCCUGCUCCAGGGCACUGCUCCCUGAGGUCCUUCCCCCUCCUCCAUUAUUUACUAAGCUGCAAUCACACUCUUCUCUAGAGUAGGCUCUAGCUCUGACUCCACACCUCCAGAUGUUGUUGCAUGUGCACCUGAUCUGAUGGGUAUGCUCUGCUCCGUGACCAGCCCUGUGUCUCCUGUGAAACUUGCUCCUUCUUUUCCUCUUUGUUCCUGAGAGACAUAAAAAUGUGCCUCCUAUUCUCAUCAUCCAUUCAGCCUUUUCCUCUCCAUGUGAAGCUCUGGUUUCCUUUGAAAGCUGUGCUGGUGACUGCAGGACACUCUUCCUUACCCUCUGCCUCUCCUCUCUCCUAUACCCACUCUAUACACGGAUUCAUACCCUGUUCAUAAUAUCCAUACCUCC
This 1111-nucleotide long non-coding RNA is filed under the name Marmota monax (woodchuck). Lineage: Eukaryota; Metazoa; Chordata; Mammalia; Rodentia; Sciuridae. The record is from RNAcentral.